RNAcentral lists this ribosomal RNA (463 nucleotides) under uncultured bacterium. Its description in RNAcentral is "partial 16S ribosomal RNA". It matches the Rfam family "Bacterial small subunit ribosomal RNA", at positions 28 to 507 of the family's 1533-position model. The record is from RNAcentral.
GAUGAACGCUGACAGAAUGCUUAACACAUGCAAGUCUUUGGCGAAGCUGUGCUUGCACAGCCUAGCCAAGGCGGACGGGUGAGUAACGCGUAAGGAACUUGCCCUGCAGUCAGGGAUAACAGACGGAAACGACUGAUAAGACCUGGUAAAGUCAGGCGGACUCAUGUCCAGCCUGAUGAAAAGAGAUGCUGCAGGAGAGCCUUGCGUCCUAUUAGCUUGUUGGUGGGGUAACGGCCCACCAAGGCGAUGAUAGGUAGCCGGCCUGAGAGGGUGGACGGCCACAAGGGGACUGAGAUACGGCCCUUACUCCUACGGGAGGCAGCAGUGGGGAACAUUGGACAAUGGGGGCAACCCUGAUCCAGCAAUUCUGUGUGCACGAUGAAGGUUUUCGGAUUGUAAAGUGCUUUCAGCAGGGAAGAAAAAAAUGACGGUACCUGCAGAAGAAGCGACGGCUAAAUACGUG